CUGCUGAUGCUAUUUCUCUAGCAUGAGACAUGGGUAGAGUUCAGGGAAAGGAAGCUACCAUACAAGUGGAGAGCCUGCAACACCCGGAGCAGCAGAUGAUAAGGGACAGUUUAUAGAGGGCAGGGGAGACUGUCCCUCCUCCAGCGUUUCCUCACACUUCCUGAACCCACUCCCAAGCUACCCUUUGUGCACAGAAUCUUCUCAUGCUGUUUUGCAAACCUCUUACCAAUAAUUUCUGCUAUCUGGCAGAAUUACUAAAUGGAUUUCUGAAUGAUGUAGUUUCUGUUUCUCCAACAAUUUGUGAUAUGGAGAGAGAGCAAAUCCAUAGCCUGUAGUUCAGGUCUAUGAAAAAAGGGUAUUCAACACAUGUAAGGUACUACAUGCCCAUGUACUAUACCAUCCGAGUGUAUUUUUCCUUGCAAGGCACAGAAAUAUGGUACUGAUAUUCCUGUUUUACUCUUUGGAAGCAAAGGCAAUGGGUGUCUCAGCAACAUCCCCAGAAUCACAGCAGUAUGGCAGAACGGGAAAAAAAGGGGUCACCCAAGUCUUAGACUAAAUAUCUUUACCACUGGAACACCAUCCUGUUGCUUUAUGGGCUCAAACCCGUGUUCAUAAUCUUAGAAGACACAGAAAAUAAUUUAGAAAUAAAUACCAGCAGAAAUGGUUUAAAGGUUCAUAAAGAAUUUCCUAGUUAGUUGCAGUUACACAUAAAUGGGACCUCUGUGCUCUGAAGACCAGCAGUUUACGAAAGUAUUUCAGAAAAAAAUGUGCUAUGCAAAUUGUUUCCAAAAUCACCACCUCCAUUUUUUUGCUACCUAGGCUUUACUAUGGAAAUAAAUAAAGAUAUUUAUGGAGAUAAAUAAAUAAAUGUAGCAGGAGAUCAGAUAUUAAGAAAGCCUUAGCCUGUGAAACAGUCACAGUAGGACACCUGUAGGUAAUAUUGAGGAUUGCUCUUACCUGCAGAAAACAGUGUAAAAGUUUCUCUGUUCAUAGUUUCCAUCUUGUCUGUGAAAUGACCAGGGUCAAACUGUCAAAGACUCUCCCACUGCUCUUGAUUAUACAGGGCAGAAAAUAUGUUGAGGAAAAUUAAGGUGCCCCACUGAAAGACAAAAUGAACAUACAAAGAUCUUCUUCACAGAGCCAAAAACCAAUGGCUUGACUUAGACCGCAAAGAUAUCAAUUGCUCGCUUGAAAUUGCCCAAUGCAAGUGCCAACUAAUUAUUCUGGAGUGAAAAAUAGGGUCGCACUGUGCUAUCUCCUACAGAACGGCUUAUUUAGAAAUUAUUAUAUUAUUCUUAAAGAGUUAUUUUAGAACACCAGAGGAUGCAGUAAUUACAGUAAUCAGAGACUUGGGGGGGAAAAACCCAAACACCACUGAACUGCAGGCUCAACACUGAUCGAGACCCCUGAUUCUGAUCUUGAUUUUGUCAAAGACAUGUUCCCCUAAAGCCACAUAGGUAUUAUCCAUUGGGAAGCCAACCUGCAUGAGGUUGGGUAUGGAUUUAAAGUACUCUGCUGGUACAAUAAAUGCAUAUACAGACACUGUUAUUCUAGAAUUUCUGGGGGGUUUAUAUAUAGCUUGUACCAUUUAAAAGAAGCCUAGGGUCAUUAUACUGGUACCUUUAUACUGAUCUAACACUUGAAAUACUGUAUAUUAAAAUGAUAAAAGUAAACUGUAAACUGUAUGGAAAAAUGGUAAAGCUGUGCAAAAGGAGAGGUGUACAGGUUUAUUCAUAUUGUAGGAUGUAGAUACUGUCCAGCAUCCUAUUCACAAUGAAGACUUCCUCAAAAGUUGCUCAAACUCACCUUUGGAUAGUUUUGCAACCAGGAACAAAAUAUGAGAGAUCUCUUGCUUGGCUUUGCUCUGUCUAAGGAUUGUCCCCAAACUUUUGUGGUGUUAAGAUACCUUAGUGGCAUUAAUAUCUCCUUAGUAAUACGGAAGUCUUGCAGUGUGUUAUCCUGGGUACUCAUAAACCUUCUGCUGCUAUAACACAUAAUCUCAUUUAGAACUGCACUUACAUAUAGCAAGAUCACUUGGUUCUUAUGUUUAGUUCCACAGGAUGGACCAAUCACAGCAUCCAACUCUUCUUAGACUUGUUCUGCAGAACAAAAGGACUAAUAAUGAGUAUUUAAGAAGAUGCACCAUUAUGGAGAGCUCAGCAUAAGGUGAUGGUGGUGUCUGAGCCCACUAUGAAGAGAAACAUGAUCUCUGAGAUCUGUGCUGUAGAGGAGUGCAUACUGAGUUGAUGAAGCUGGUAAGACAGCAGCCAUGUAGCUCUGUUAAAAAAUAAUCUUGCUGACUGAGGAAGACAGCGUACAUGCGCAUCAGCUCUGAUGAUUACUGACACUUGCAACACCUUCCCAAAACAAGCAGAACUCUGGGGAAAUUUUUGUCUUAGAGCAACCUGCAAAAUCGUAACACCACAGGACUCCUCUGUCUCAACCUUUCUACAUCUGCAGGAUAUGAUUUUCAAGCAGUUGUUUAACUGGUUCUCCUGGAAACAGCUACAUAGAACCAAAGGCAUUUGCAUGAGGUUGGGAGAUGGUACCCAAAUUAAGCAUGUCAUUCACAGUUCUUCUGAAUCAUGUUCUUUACAUGCUCCUCAUAGAGAAAUGAUUGCUGUAAGUGCAGCAAAACCACUAAUCAAUAUUUUCCAGGCUGUACUGCAUUGGAUUGUACCAAUGUCUCUUUUCAGGGUGAUAACAGAAAGCAGCAGCCUACAGCCAGUGAAAGUAUACAAUGGAAGUGGUAAUCCUGGCAGCUUUAGUAGUAAGAGAGGUAAUCCUGUGUAAUACCAUUUCCUCUCUGCAACUCUAAUCACAAGAAAACAGAAGUGACGCUUUCUAAAGCAGAAAAGAGAUUAUGUCCUUUUAACUGCCUUUUUUGUAACCUUGCACUAUUACUGCAAUCAAUAAUUUCAAGAAAGCUUAGUCCUUAAUUCUUAUAUCUUGUAUAGUGAUAUGGUAAUCUCUGCAUGCUCUGCUGCACAUUAACACGCUACAUACAACAAACCCCUCUGAAGGAAUAUUGAGUGCUAAUGUAUGAUAGCACAGGUUGUUCCCAGGUUCCCAGCACUGAUGGGUUGACACUGAACAACACUGAAACGGGGAGGAAAAUUCUCAAGUCUUACCUGGCACUUGACAAAACCUCUGAAAAUUUGCUGAAAUUUAGUGGGGCCUCUGGGACUUCCACACUUGGUCUGCUGGCAUCCCACAGGGCUUAUAUUUGACAUUGCCUGGUAUGGAUUUGUCUCUUCAGGAGCACCUCUCCUGUGUCAUCUGAGAGCAUGCCAGUUGCCAAAGAAGCUCAGAGUUAAAAGAGAAAUGAUAAAUUCUGAUAAUUGCAAUGUUAGAAAUUAUAAAAACAACA
Long non-coding RNA from Neopsephotus bourkii (Bourke's parrot), 3370 nucleotides. RefSeq lists it as uncharacterized. The transcript is spliced from 5 exons. Lineage: Eukaryota; Metazoa; Chordata; Aves; Psittaciformes; Psittacidae. The record is from RefSeq and is a predicted model, not a curated record.